AACGUAGGUGGCGAGCGUUAUCCGGAUUUACUGGGCGUAAAGCGUGUUCAGGCGGUUUGGUAAGUCGGGCAUGAAAUCUCUUGGCUCAACCAGGAGAGGCUGUCCGAUACUACCAGACUUGAGGGCAACAGAGGGCGGUGGAAUUCCGGGUGUAGUGGUAAAAUGCGUAGAUAUCCGGAGGAACACCAGUGGCGAAGGCGGCCGCCUGGGUUGCCCCUGACGCUAAAACACGAAGGCUAGGGCAG
This 245-nucleotide ribosomal RNA is filed under the name uncultured bacterium. RNAcentral's name for it is "partial 16S ribosomal RNA". It matches the Rfam family "Bacterial small subunit ribosomal RNA", at positions 524 to 768 of the family's 1533-position model. The record is from RNAcentral.